This 348-nucleotide unclassified non-coding RNA is filed under the name soil metagenome. RNAcentral's name for it is "partial contains 5.8S ribosomal RNA, internal transcribed spacer 2, and large subunit ribosomal RNA". The stretch from base 1 to 120 matches the Rfam family "5.8S ribosomal RNA", at positions 35 to 154 of the family's 154-position model. The record is from RNAcentral.
GAUGAAGAACGCAGUGAAAUGCGAUAAGUAAUGUGUAUUGCAGAAUUCAGUGAAUCAUCGAGUCUUUGAACGCACAUUGCGCCCCCUGGUAUUCCGGGGGGCAUGCCUGUCCGAGCGUCAUUGCUGCCCUCAAGCACGGCUUGUGUGUUGGGCCCCCGUCCCCGGUUUCCCCCGGGGACGGGCCCGAAAGGCAGCGGCGGCACCGCGUCCGGUCCUCGAGCGUAUGGGGCUUUGUCACCCGCUCUGUAGGCCCGGCCGGCGCCAGCCGACACCCAACUUUAUUUCUAAGGUUGACCUCGGAUCAGGUAGGGAUACCCGCUGAACUUAAGCAUAUCAAUAAGCGGAGGA